This 2085-nucleotide ribosomal RNA is filed under the name human gut metagenome. Its description in RNAcentral is "bacterial LSU rRNA". It matches the Rfam family "Bacterial large subunit ribosomal RNA", at positions 808 to 2925 of the family's 2925-position model. The record is from RNAcentral.
GGUGUGGAUAGGGGAGAAAUUCCAAUCGAACCCGGAGAUAGCUGGUUCUCCUCGAAAUAGCUUUAGGGCUAGCCUCGAUACAGAUUUGCGGAGGUAGAGCACUGAAUUUCCUAGGGGGCGUCAAAGCCUACCGAAGAAUAUCAAACUCCGAAUGCCGCGUAAUCGAUUAUCGGGAGUCAGACUGCACGAGAUAAGUUGGGCGGUCAAAAGGGAAAGAGCCCAGACCUUCAGUUAAGGUCCCCAAGUGCGCGUUAAGUGGAAAAGGAUGUGGGAUUUCGAAGACAACCAGGAUGUUGGCUCAGAAGCAGCCAUCCAUUCAAAGAGUGCGUAAUAGCUCACUGGUCGAGAGGUCCUGCGCCGAAAAUGUCCGGGGCUGAAACGCGCCACCGAAACUAAGGAACCGAAAGGUUGGUAGAGGAGCAUUGCAUGCGGGAAGAAGCAGUACCGUAAGGAGCUGUGGACUGCAUGGAAGAGAGAAUGCCGGAAUGAGUAGCGAGAAUAAGGUGAGAAUCCUUAUGGCCGAAUAUCCAAGGUUUCCAGAGUAAAGCUGAUCUGCUCUGGGUAAGUCGGGGCCUAAGGCGAGGACGAGAGUCGUAGCCGAUGGACAACAGGUGGAGAUUCCUGUACUGCGGUAUGACAGAACUGUGGGGACACGUAAGGAAAGCGGAAGCCGGGAAUGGAAAGCCCGGUGCAAGCGGGGUACCAGCCACUUUGGCAAAUCCGGGUGGCAAUGGGAAGCCGUGAUGCGGAGCGAAAUAAAGUAGCGAAGUCCGUGAGCCAUGCGUCAAGAAAAGCCGCUAUUGUUUAUACCGUACCCGUACCGUAAACCGACACAGGUGGAUGAGGAGAGAAUCCUAAGGCCGGCGGAAGAAGCAUUGUCAAGGAACUCGGCAAAAUGACCCCGUAACUUCGGGAGAAGGGGUGCCUGCGAGAGCAGGCCGCAGAGAAUAGGCUCAAGCAACUGUUUAGCAAAAACACAGGUCUAUGCGAAACCGAAAGGUGAGGUAUAUGGGCUGACGCCUGCCCGGUGCUGGAAGGUUAAGAGGAGAGGUUAGCGCAAGCGAAGCUUUGAAUUUAAGCCCCAGUAAACGGCGGCCGUAACUAUAACGGUCCUAAGGUAGCGAAAUUCCUUGUCGGGUAAGUUCCGACCCGCACGAAAGGCGUAAUGAUUUGAGCGCUGUCUCGACAAUGCAUCCGGUGAAAUUGAAGUACCAGUGAAGAUGCUGGUUACCCGCGCCAGGACGGAAAGACCCCAUGGAGCUUUACUCCAGUUUGGUACUGGGAUUCGGUACUGCACGUACAGGAUAGGUGGGAGACUUUGAAACUUGAACGCCAGUUUGAGUGGAGUCGCUGUUGGGAUACCACCCCUGCAGUAUUGGAUUUCUAACCAGUCACCGUGAUCCGGUGAUGGGACAAUGCCAGGCGGGGAGUUUGACUGGGGCGGUCGCCUCCGAAAGGGUAUCGGAGGCGCUCAAAGGUUCCCUCAGAAUGGUCGGAAACCAUUCGAAGAGUGCAAAGGCAGAAGGGAGCUUGACUGCGACACCGACGGGUGGAGCAGGUACGAAAGUAGGACUUAGUGAUCCGGUGGUAUUAAGUGGGAAUGCCAUCGCUCAACGGAUAAAAGCUACCCUGGGGAUAACAGGCUUAUCACUCCCAAGAGUUCACAUCGACGGAGUGGUUUGGCACCUCGAUGUCGGCUCAUCGCAUCCUGGGGCUGUAGUAGGUCCCAAGGGUUGGGCUGUUCGCCCAUUAAAGCGGUACGCGAGCUGGGUUCAGAACGUCGUGAGACAGUUCGGUCCCUAUCCGGCGUGGGCGUAGGAUAUUUGAGAGGAGCUGACCUUAGUACGAGAGGACCGGGUUGGACUGACCUCUGGUGCACCGGUUGUCAUGCCAAUGGCACAGCCGGGUAGCCAAGUCGGGAAGGGAUAAACGCUGAAGGCAUCUAAGCGUGAAGCCCCCCUCAAGAUGAGAUAUCCCCCGCAUAAGCGGUAAGACCCCUUGAAGACGACGAGGUAGAUAGGGCAGAGGUGGAAGUGCAGUAAUGUAUGGAGCUGACUGCUACUAAUAGGUCGAAGGCUUAACCAA